This 2758-nucleotide long non-coding RNA is filed under the name Heterocephalus glaber (naked mole-rat). RNAcentral's name for it is "lncRNA (ENSHGLG00100039140.1)". The record is from RNAcentral. Lineage: Eukaryota; Metazoa; Chordata; Mammalia; Rodentia; Bathyergidae.
CAACUUCAAGGUGAGUCCUCUUUCCAAUGAGACAGCUGUUCCAAAACUCCUUCCACACAGAAAUCCUGAAGCCACCACUGGACCUUAACUGUGUUAACACUGCAGUGAAAGGAAGCCCAAAGCACAUUCCAAAAUACUAUGGAUGGGGCCAGGAUCACUGCUCCAUGAGUGGUUGGUCAGGGUAAUUGCUCAUGUGUAGCAUAUGCAAAACCCUGGGUUUGAUCUUCAGCACCAAAAAAAAAAAAAAAGAGGGGACACUGCUACAUGCUGCUGUUUCCCAAAUGAAAGUACUGUUGUAAAAUGCUACUAUGUAGAACAAUAAGAAUGGUGUUAAACCGUAACAUUAUAAUCCAGUGAACACAUCACGGUCUUUUAUUCUCACAUUAAAAUUUACCUUAAAUUUGGAAAUUCAAAGUAACAGCCUUUUCACUAUCAGUCUUGAAUUUAGAAAUUCAAAGUAUCAGCCUUGUGGAAAAUGUAAAGUUGCGCAGAUUGGCUCCUAGUCCCAGCCUGAUUGUCCAGUGCACCAUCUGGCACCCAAGAUGUCCAGUUCCUAACUGAUGAAAAAUUAUAAAGCCCCCGAGUUGAACUCCUGAAUCUUCCACUGUUCUCCUGGAACGAAGAGUAGCUUCUCUCUGACUCCCUGACUUGAAAGCAGCUCAUUUUGUUUUUGUUGCUUUAUAUAAAAAUCUUUCCCUGUGCUUUAUGAAUUUAAAACUUUACCCAGGCUUCCUUACAUUUCCCUCUUGCCACAUUCAGGAGAAUUUCAAUGCUAAGAGGACUGGGCAGCAGGAGCCAGAGCUUCUUUGCAGGAGCACUCGGCCUUCUGCUUUCCAGUUGGUAUUUUCUCUUUUCAACACAUCAUGGGGAUGCUUUGUUUUGAUUUGGGGCUUCCUCAGUAAGGUCAUUCCAUGCCUGUGUCUCUUGUAGGGCCUCGGUCUAUGGCCUGCUAUUUUUGUUGGCAAACAGAGACUCAGAAAUUCUUUCAUUAUCUGUCACCCCUUAGAAACUGGAGCACUGAACCAGGAGCCAAUGAAUGACAUUCAAAGCUGUGAUUACAUUUUUUUUUCCUUAUUUCAAAUAACAUUCUUAUUUUUAAAAAACAGUAAGUGUAGAAUUUUCUGAGCUGUGCUGCCACAGACUGAAUCUUAAUAUCUGUUCUUUUAUUUCAAUUUGAUUUAUGCAUGUACACUAGAGACAAAAUUUCUUAAAUAAAUCUUCCAAAUGACAACAGCAUGAAUGUCAGUUGAGCUCUUGAAUAAUUCCUUGUUGUCCUUACCUGUUCCCACCACUGGUUAUUAAGAGGUCAAGAAUGAUAGGAAGCUUUAUCUGUGAUAGAAUUACUACUUAAAAGACGAAGAAUCUAAACAGUGGGAGAGUUUGACAUCUGAAUGCAGAGUACUCCUGAUUGAGUCUUUAGCCACUAUGGAAACAGACAGCAGACCUGAGCUGCAGGAGAAAGCAUCAUUACUGAAGAAAACACUUGAAAAUCUGUAAUAAAUUAGAAGAGGAUGAAGCAAACAAGUACGAUGGUCACUGGGGGUUGAAAUGGUGAUAUUCUUUAAAAAAACCAAGUGGGGAAAAGUAAAGAUUAAUCUGUAACAUGCAUCAUUCCUUAGCUGAAAUUAAAAAAAAAAAGCCUUAGGAAAAAAAAAAGAGGUCAAGAGAGAUUAAAUGGGAAGAGGUGAAGGAACAUAAUUUUUCCUUUCUUCCACAUAGCAGCCAAACAGGAGGAAGCCACCAGUGCCAGGUGAUAAUCUUUCUGUCAUGUUUCUGUAACAUUUUUCACCUUGAGAGACAAAAUAAAUGGGAAUGGGAAUGGGAGUGCACAUACAAGCAUUUUAUAAUUUAUAUCUGUGUCCUCACUCCUCAAACUUCCAUAAGCUCCCUGAGACCACAUGUAGGUCACCCACAAUACCAACACAUGUGCUUUGUUGGUUGAAUAAAACCAAAAGUACAUUACCUGACAUUAACCAGGGCUAAUAUCUGAAGUUUAACUCACUUUGAGCCCAAGUAAAAGCAGUCAUUUAAAGCAGUAACCCUUUAGAGCUUCUUCAUUCUGGAGCUAUUUCAUGUAAGAGAUCCUGUUAAACUAGUUUUUCACACCCCUACUACCCUAACUCAGGAUGCAACAGAGGCUCUGCAUUCCUGCUGGCAAACAUCAGCCCUAUGAACAGUAUACUGUGUGUCGCUACUGUGAGUCUGUAAAAUUGUUAAUGGACAGUAUAAACAAUUGAAUCCAAUUUAUUUAAAAAUAGUGCAUGUAAUAUGUAACUACUGCCCUGAAAUAACUAUCAUAUAAACAUACUUCCAAUAAAACUUUUCUGCAUGGUCUAACAUAAAGUAUAUUGCAUUACUCUUUAAAAAUAAUUUACUGUAGAUUAAACUCAUUAAAAUGAAUAAUUUAAAAGUAUGUGCAUUUCCGUAAGACUUUCGUUGGAUAAACUUAUUAGAAGAAAAAUUUCAGGAACAAAGAAGCACAAUCUUUAUUAAUGCUACUAAUUUAUUAUGUGCCUAAUUUAAGCCCAUUUUUAAGCAAAAAUAGUUGUCAAGUAAAGCCACUUAAACUGAUAUAAUUAGAAAGAGCUGAGAGGGUAAAAGAGCAUUUUGAAUGUCCUAUGUAUGGCAUAUCCUGUACACUGAUUUGAGGUCUGAGUUUUGGUAUUUUUAUAUAAUUUUAUCUUAUCUUGUGCAUCAGCUGUGUAUUUUACAUCAAGGUAAAUAAGCAUCCUGUUUUAUAUGUUGAAUAAAAAAUGAC